RNAcentral lists this ribosomal RNA (1292 nucleotides) under Staphylococcus aureus W55442. RNAcentral describes it as "bacterial LSU rRNA". It matches the Rfam family "Bacterial large subunit ribosomal RNA", at positions 1629 to 2925 of the family's 2925-position model. Lineage: Bacteria; Bacillati; Bacillota; Bacilli; Caryophanales; Staphylococcaceae. The record is from RNAcentral.
AGAAAAUAGGUGCCCGUACCGCAAACCGACACAGGUAGUCAAGAUGAGAAUUCUAAGGUGAGCGAGCGAACUCUCGUUAAGGAACUCGGCAAAAUGACCCCGUAACUUCGGGAGAAGGGGUGCUCUUUAGGGUUAACGCCCAGAAGAGCCGCAGUGAAUAGGCCCAAGCGACUGUUUAUCAAAAACACAGGUCUCUGCUAAACCGUAAGGUGAUGUAUAGGGGCUGACGCCUGCCCGGUGCUGGAAGGUUAAGAGGAGUGGUUAGCUUCUGCGAAGCUACGAAUCGAAGCCCCAGUAAACGGCGGCCGUAACUAUAACGGUCCUAAGGUAGCGAAAUUCCUUGUCGGGUAAGUUCCGACCCGCACGAAAGGCGUAACGAUUUGGGCACUGUCUCAACGAGAGACUCGGUGAAAUCAUAGUACCUGUGAAGAUGCAGGUUACCCGCGACAGGACGGAAAGACCCCGUGGAGCUUUACUGUAGCCUGAUAUUGAAAUUCGGCACAGCUUGUACAGGAUAGGUAGGAGCCUUUGAAACGUGAGCGCUAGCUUACGUGGAGGCGCUGGUGGGAUACUACCCUAGCUGUGUUGGCUUUCUAACCCGCACCACUUAUCGUGGUGGGAGACAGUGUCAGGCGGGCAGUUUGACUGGGGCGGUCGCCUCCUAAAAGGUAACGGAGGCGCUCAAAGGUUCCCUCAGAAUGGUUGGAAAUCAUUCAUAGAGUGUAAAGGCAUAAGGGAGCUUGACUGCGAGACCUACAAGUCGAGCAGGGUCGAAAGACGGACUUAGUGAUCCGGUGGUUCCGCAUGGAAGGGCCAUCGCUCAACGGAUAAAAGCUACCCCGGGGAUAACAGGCUUAUCUCCCCCAAGAGUUCACAUCGACGGGGAGGUUUGGCACCUCGAUGUCGGCUCAUCGCAUCCUGGGGCUGUAGUCGGUCCCAAGGGUUGGGCUGUUCGCCCAUUAAAGCGGUACGCGAGCUGGGUUCAGAACGUCGUGAGACAGUUCGGUCCCUAUCCGUCGUGGGCGUAGGAAAUUUGAGAGGAGCUGUCCUUAGUACGAGAGGACCGGGAUGGACAUACCUCUGGUGUACCAGUUGUCGUGCCAACGGCAUAGCUGGGUAGCUAUGUGUGGACGGGAUAAGUGCUGAAAGCAUCUAAGCAUGAAGCCCCCCUCAAGAUGAGAUUUCCCAACUUCGGUUAUAAGAUCCCUCAAAGAUGAUGAGGUUAAUAGGUUCGAGGUGGAAGCAUGGUGACAUGUGGAGCUGACGAAUACUAAUCGAUCGAAGACUUAAUC